This is an RNA transcript of Quercus robur (English oak), 1984 nucleotides long. RefSeq lists it as uncharacterized. The transcript has 8 exons. Lineage: Eukaryota; Viridiplantae; Streptophyta; Magnoliopsida; Fagales; Fagaceae. The record is from RefSeq and is a predicted model, not a curated record.
CUUUUCAUUUCCCUUCUCUUUUCAUUUUCCCUCCGUUAGCUCUAAGAAAAAACCCACACACGCACAUACACACACUCUCUCUCUUUCUCUGUGUCAAAAUCUGUUUCACUCUCAAAAUCUCUAGACCUCAGCAUGUGCCAACCCACCCAACUCACUAGAGAUCGAACUCAACAGAGACCAACUGCUACUCACGCCGCCGCCAAUCUCCAAAAAUUUGGAGAAACAUUAAUCAAGCAAGCGCAGUUACUCAAGAGAGACGGCAACUCAUACUUCAAGAAAGAUCGUAUUGGAGUCGCCAUUGAUACUUAUACAGAGGCAAUUACGCUAUGCCCAAAUGUUCCUAUGUAUUUGAUGAAUCGUGCUUUGUGUCAUCGCAAGCGGAAUUGUUGUUCGCAGGCUCCCUUCUUCUACUUCCUAGCAAGAUUUGAAGGAUCAUAUGCGAAAAGCUGGUGAUGUAUGUUUUGCUGAGGUGUCCCGUGAUGGGGAAGAUUGCAAAAAGAAAAGACAUUACAAGUUCGUGUGAUCAAAGCAAGUGAAUUUGUUUGUGUUAGAAUUAAGGGGUUAUGGCCCUUGGGAUUUUAACGGGGAAUCAUCGUUUGCAAAGACUUCUACUAAAAUUCCUAGCUGUGUCCAAGAAAACUCGAUAGAGUAUGUCGAUCUUCGUGACAUGUCGCAUAACAUGUUCCCCAUACAUGAUAUGGCAUCUGGGCCAAUGGAAGAAGUCCUUAGUGUGCAACAACCCAUAGAAGGUCCUGGAGAAGGUCCUAAUGAAGAUGCACUACAAUUUAUGAAAUUUCUUGAAGAUGCUAAUCAAACUUUUUAUGAAGGUUGUAAGCAUUUUCGCAAAUUGUCAACCAUUGUGCAUUUGUACCACAUGAAGAGUCUUAAUGGUUGGACCAACAAAUCAUUUACCAUGUUGCUACAAUUUUUACUUGAUUUUCUUCAUUCAAAUGCUAAGUUUUCAAAUGAUUGUUAUGAGGCUAAGAAGAUUAUUAAGGAUCUGGGCUUGAGCUAUGAGAAGAUUCAUGCUUAUCCUAAGAUUGUAUUUUAUAUUGGAAGGAGAAUGCCAACUUUGAAGCUUGUCCAAACUGUGGAGUUUCAAGAUGGGAAAGUAAUGAGUCUAAAGGUCAAUAAAGUACUAAUUCUUCCCCCAAGAAAAGAAAAAAGAAAGUUGCAAAGAUCCAAGACCAUUUAUUACCUUUAAUUGGGUCUAGUCAAAUUCAAGUUAUAUGGGGUAAGGUGCAACUAUUGUUGAAGUUUGCAUAAUUUCUCAUCCAAUUGGACACCCUGAGCUUGAUAAAAAUAUUUCCAAUGAAAUUCAUGAAAAAUAUAAUUUCUAUUAUCUUGAAUAAAAUGAUGUUGCUAAUUUCUAAAUUUUUUGUUUUGUUUAAACUCAAAUAUCAGGAAAAAAUGAAGGAAUUGUUGGCUGACCCUUCGAAUCAAUUACAGUCAUCUAACACAAGUGGUAGUAUUGCAUGGUCAACAAAUGAUGUGUUUGCCAUAGUGAUGGGUAAGGAGCAAAUGUCGUAUUCGUGGGGUAGGAUUUGGUCCAAGCCCAAGUGGUUGAAGUAGCAAGAGAGCUCUCACGAGCAUUCAAAUACAAUCAAGUCAAGCAAGGGACAACGAAGUUGCACAACUAAAGGCUUCCUUGGCUACUAUGGAGGAGAAACUGGCAUGUUUUGAUGAAAUGAAGGAAAGACUUAGUCAAUUCAAAGAUGUGGAGUGAAGAAUGGCUUGCAUGCUUCAACAAAUGUAACAAAUUUAUUCACAAUACAGUCAGGAUGUUCCUCCGGUUCAACAAUUUCCAGCUCUCCAAAAAUCAUCAGUUGCAUCCCAUCAACCAAGAAGCUUAUAAGUUUUAUCUUGGUGUUCAAGGACUUUUUUGUGUACAAAGAACUACAUUUGAACAACCGCAUUUUUUGCAAGUGUUAAAGGAUAUUUUUAAACACUUUGGAACUUUGAUUAUGAUAUUAGCUUAAUUUGA